This 301-nucleotide ribosomal RNA is filed under the name uncultured bacterium. RNAcentral describes it as "partial 16S ribosomal RNA". It matches the Rfam family "Bacterial small subunit ribosomal RNA", at positions 509 to 809 of the family's 1533-position model. The record is from RNAcentral.
CAGCCGCCGCGGUAAUACGAAGGGGGCUAGCGUUGUUCGGAAUUACUGGGCGUAAAGGGCGCGUAGGCGGCCAUUCAAGUUAGAUGUGAAAGCCCUGGGCUCAACCUAGGAAUUGCAUUUGUUACUGUUUGGCUUGAGUUCGGGAGAGGUGAGUGGAAUUCCCAGUGUAGAGGUGAAAUUCGUAGAUAUUGGGAAGAACACCAGUGGCGAAGGCGGCUCACUGGACCGACACUGACGCUGAGGCGCGAAAGCGUGGGGAGCAAACAGGAUUAGAUACCCCCGUAGUCCCUGUCUCUUAUAU